RNAcentral lists this ribosomal RNA (441 nucleotides) under uncultured bacterium. Its description in RNAcentral is "bacterial SSU rRNA". It matches the Rfam family "Bacterial small subunit ribosomal RNA", at positions 355 to 786 of the family's 1533-position model. The record is from RNAcentral.
UGGGGAAGUAUUGCGCAAUGGGCGAAAGCCUGACGCAGCGACGCCGCGUGAGGGAUGAAGGUUUUCGGAUCGUAAACCUCUGUCAGAAGGGAAGAAGUUGCAUGGGCCAAUCACCUGUGCAUUGACGGUACCUUCAAAGGAAGCACCGGCUAACUCCGUGCCAGCAGCCGCGGUAAUACGGAGGGUGCGAGCGUUAAUCGGAAUUACUGGGCGUAAAGCGCACGUAGGCUGUAUGUCAAGUCAAGGGUGAAAUCCCACGGCUCAACCGUGGAACUGCCUUUGAAACUGGCAAACUGGAGUAUGUGAGAGGGCGGCGGAAUUCCUGGUGUAGGAGUGAAAUCCGUAGAUAUCAGGAGGAACAUCAGUGGCGAAGGCGGCCGCCUGGCACAAAAGCUGACGCUGAGGUGCGAAAGCGUGGGGUAGCAAACAGGAUUAGAUACC